This 433-nucleotide ribosomal RNA is filed under the name Sarcophagidae sp. BAHAR107-14. RNAcentral's name for it is "partial 16S ribosomal RNA". The stretch from base 292 to 433 matches the Rfam family "Bacterial large subunit ribosomal RNA", at positions 2473 to 2613 of the family's 2925-position model. The record is from RNAcentral. Lineage: Eukaryota; Metazoa; Arthropoda; Insecta; Diptera; Sarcophagidae.
UCUUUUAAUUGAAGGCUGGUAUGAAUGGUUGGACGAAAUAUUAACUGUUUCAUGUAAAUUUUUAUAGAAUUUUAUUUUUUAGUUAAAAAGCUAAAAUUUAUUUAAAAGACGAGAAGACCCUAUAAAUCUUGAUAAUUUAUUUUUUAUAAUAAUAAAGAAUAAUUUUUUUAUAAAAAAUUAAAUUAUUUUAUUGGGGUGAUAUUAAAAUUUAAAUAACUUUUAAUUAUUUAAAACAUUAAUUUAUGAAUAUUUGAUCCAGUUUUAUUGAUUAGAAAAUUAAGUUACUUUAGGGAUAACAGCGUAAUUUUUUUGGAGAGUUCAUAUCGAUAAAAAAGAUUGCGACCUCGAUGUUGGAUUAAGAGAUAAAUUUGGGUGUAGCUGUUCAAAUAAUUAAGUCUGUUCGACUUUUAAAUUCUUACGUGAUCUGAGUUCA